UACGGAGGGGGCGAGCGUUAUUCGGAAUCAUUGGGCGUAAAGCGCGCGUAGGUGGCCCCGUAAGUCCGCUGUGAAAGUCAAAGGCUCAACCUUUGAAAGCCGGUGGAUACUGUGGGACUAGAGUACGGAAGAGGCGAGUGGAAUUCCUGGUGUAGCGGUGGAAUGCGCAGAUAUCAGGAGGAACACCAAUAGCGAAGGCAGCUCGCUGGGACGUUACUGACACUGAGGCGCGAAAGCGUGGGGAGCGAACAGG
Molecule: ribosomal RNA, 253 nt
Filed under: uncultured bacterium
Lineage: Bacteria
Description: partial 16S ribosomal RNA
Rfam family: Bacterial small subunit ribosomal RNA
Source: RNAcentral